GAAGUAUAUAUGAAACAGGGGCUCCAAUGCAAACUCUUUUGUCUGACAAGCACAAAUCAGCCCAGAACAUCCUCAAACCCAGCUUCAGAAGACGGCAAGGCUGCACAGGCAUUUAAAAACCAACGAUGAGAUGGGCGAGACUCUCCAUCGCUGUCGGGAGGUGAUCUUUCCUGCCUUUUACUUUCUGCCCUUCCUCGCCCAAAUUUGGAUCUAACAAAUGGAAAGAGCAGAGGCUGAUCGGCACUAAUCGUGGAGCAGCGGCUUUCGUCCUGGAUGUGGAAGAAUCUUGCAGGGCUGGCAACCCUUGCUUUCCUCUGGUUCCUGUGAUCCUAGCAUGCUUUGGCCUGGUCUCGCCUCCCUCUGGCUCCCCGGGCAUGGCGGCGCGUGCAGCCCCGGCCCCUCGUUUGCCUGCAAUGGGCUUUGUGGACGCUGCUGUAUAUCCUCUGUUUCAUCCGAGGGGCUACGCAGACUCAGGCAGCGCUCAGAUUUACGCUUUGAAAACACUGUUUUCUCUCUAUCACGCUUGCCUCUUUGCCUCCCUAUUAUUUGAUUAUAGGAUACACUCGGGAGGUGGACAAAAUAGCAAACAUUUUGAAAAUCUACAUCUCUGUCUCACUGUGUUACAUUUGUCAUGACUUUGUGUGCAGUUUGUUGAUUUAUGAGGAUGUGUUUCACUGUAAUUGUACACUUUUCUCCCCAUCCUUUCAUUGUUAAUCUGACACACUUUUUUUUCCCGUGACUCCCGUUGAUGCGAGGUGGACUUUUUUCAAAAGAUGAAAUGAUUCUACAUGGAGCCACGGUGCCAAUAUGAUGACGGUUACUGGGGAUAAAAAAAUCUCUUGUUUCAUUUGUCUUGAAGUUGAGGAUGCUCUCUCAGUUCACUGUGAAACUGCAAGGGAGCCAAGUCAGGUUACCAUCCAGUGUGUGUUUGUGCUGACCUGCGCAGUAUGCCGCCCAGUAGGGAAGCGUUGAGGCACUCUGGUGGGGACAGUCUUCUUUUCACCUCGGCGAUAGUGACUUUGUAUUUGGAGGUGGAGCUGAGCAGCGACAGUCGGCCCGGUACAGAGCAGAACAAGUCUGUAGGAUUCACCACGCAGGUCCCCCCUGCACACAAACACAGCACACUUGUUACAGCGUUGAACGGCGU
Molecule: long non-coding RNA, 1147 nt
Organism: Scatophagus argus
Lineage: Eukaryota; Metazoa; Chordata; Actinopteri; Scatophagidae
Exons: 5
Source: RefSeq, a predicted model, not a curated record